RNAcentral lists this transfer RNA (87 nucleotides) under Chitinophaga terrae (ex Kim and Jung 2007). Its description in RNAcentral is "tRNA-Ser". It matches the Rfam family "tRNA". From Rfam's summary of the family: Transfer RNA (tRNA) molecules are approximately 80 nucleotides in length. Their secondary structure includes four short double-helical elements and three loops (D, anti-codon, and T loops). The record is from RNAcentral. Lineage: Bacteria; Pseudomonadati; Bacteroidota; Chitinophagia; Chitinophagales; Chitinophagaceae. RNAcentral also lists the same sequence under 7 other names.
GGAAGAGUGCAGGAGUGGUUGAACUGGCACGCCUGGAAAGUGUGUAUAGGUGAAAGCCUAUCAAGGGUUCGAAUCCCUUCUCUUCCG